Legionella nautarum is the source of this 79-nucleotide regulatory RNA element. It matches the Rfam family "Alpha operon ribosome binding site". From Rfam's summary of the family: The bacterial alpha operon ribosome binding site is surrounded by this complex pseudoknotted structure. Translation of the mRNA produces 4 ribosomal protein products, one of which (S4) acts as a translational repressor by binding to the nested pseudoknot region. The mechanism of repression is thought to involve a conformational switch in the pseudoknot region and ribosome entrapment. The record is from Rfam. NCBI's taxonomy places the organism in Bacteria, Pseudomonadati, Pseudomonadota, Gammaproteobacteria, Legionellales, Legionellaceae.
UUCUUCUGUCCCUUUCUGACAGAACAAAAAACGUUCGGAGAAAUUAAUGGCUCGUAUUGCAGGUGUUAACAUACCAGAU